RNAcentral lists this ribosomal RNA (2185 nucleotides) under Nitidulinae sp. JAR-2003. Its description in RNAcentral is "partial 28S ribosomal RNA". It matches the Rfam family "Eukaryotic large subunit ribosomal RNA", at positions 42 to 1872 of the family's 3401-position model. Lineage: Eukaryota; Metazoa; Arthropoda; Insecta; Coleoptera; Nitidulidae. The record is from RNAcentral.
AUUAUUAAGCGGAGGAAAAGAAACUAACCAGGAUUCCCUCAGUAGCUGCGAGCGAACAGGGAAGAGCCCAGCACCGAAUCCCGCGGCCGGCACCGGACGCCGGGAAAUGUGGUGUUAGGGAGGAUCCGUCAUCCCGAGAUGUCGCGACGCGUCCAAGUCCUUCUUGAACGGGGCCACAACCCAGAGAGGGUGCCAGGCCCGUAGUGACCGUCGCGCGUCGCGGGAGGAUCUCUCCUCAGAGUCGGGUUGCUUGAGAGUGCAGCCCUAAGCGGGUGGUAAACUCCAUCUAAGGCUAAAUAUGACCACGAGACCGAUAGCGAACAAGUACCGUGAGGGAAAGUUGAAAAGCACUUUGAAGAGAGAGUUCAAGAGUACGUGAAACCGUUCAGGGGUAAACCUGAGAAACCCGAAAGGUCGGCGGGGAAAUUCAUCGCGUCUCGGCGCUCGGCGUCGGGCGGGCGGUGACGGGCGCGGCUCUCGGGCCGCGACCGCGCCGCCCGCACGGCCAGACCGGGCUCGAACGCGUGCACUUUUCCUCUUGUCGGACGUCGCGAUCCGUUGGGCGUCGGUCCAAGGCCCGCGGUGGAGACCUGCCGGUCACUCGUUUUGCCGGCAGGACCCGCGGUGUUUCCCGACCGACUCGCUCGACGGUACGAAUGUGGCGCGGGGCCGCGACUCAGUUCGCGUCCGGCCCGGAGCAAGCGCGGGCGGUGCGCUCGGUGAUCGGACCUGGUGCCGAUCCCGGCCCCGUCCGGCUGUGGCUUCGGCGUCCUCGGACAGACCCUGUGAAACGCCGAUCGGCGACGCUAUAGCUUUGGGUACUUUCAGGACCCGUCUUGAAACACGGACCAAGGAGUCUAGCAUGUGCGCGAGUCAUUGGGAACUCGACUAAACCUAAAGGCGCAAUGAAAGUGAAGGCCGGCCUCGCGCCGGCCGAGGGAGGAUGGGCGGCGUCGGCUCACACGGGCGGCCGCUCCGCACUCCCGGGGCGUCUCGUUCUCAUCGCGAGAAGAGGCGCACCAAGAGCGUACACGCUGGGACCCGAAAGAUGGUGAACUAUGCCUGGUCAGGACGAAGUCAGGGGAAACCCUGAUGGAGGUCCGUAGCGAUUCUGACGUGCAAAUCGAUCGUCGGAACUGGGUAUAGGGGCGAAAGACUAAUCGAACCAUCUAGUAGCUGGUUCCCUCCGAAGUUUCCCUCAGGAUAGCUGGCGCUCGUAACGUACGAGUCUCAUCCGGUAAAGCGAAUGAUUAGAGGCAUUGGGGUCGAAACGACCUCAACCUAUUCUCAAACUUUAAAUGGGUGAGAUCUCCGGCCUGCUCGAACUUGAGGCCGCGAGAGACACGGAUCAGAGUGCCAAGUGGGCCAUUUUUGGUAAGCAGAACUGGCGCUGUGGNNNNNNNNNNNNNNNNNNNNNNNNNNNNNNNNNNNNNNNNNNNNNNNNNNNNNNNNNNNNNNNNNNNNNNNNNNNNNNNNNNNCGGUGGCCAUGGAAGUCGGAAUCCGCCAAGGAGUGUGUAACAACUCACCUGCCGAAGUUACUAGCCCUGAAAAUGGAUGGCGCUGAAGCGUCGUGCUUAUACUCGGCCGUCAGAGGCAUGUGCGGUCCGCGCGCGCGCGGGCCAUGAAGCCCUGACGAGUAGGAGGGUCGCGGCGGUGAGCGCAGAAGGGCUGGCCGCGAGGCCGUCUGGAGCCGCCGUCGGUGCAGAUCUUGGUGGUAGUAGCAAAUACUCCAGCGAGGCCCUGGAGGACUGACGUGGAGAAGGGUUUCGUGUGAACAGCCGUUGCACACGAGUCAGUCGAUCCUAAGCCCUAGGCGAAAGCCGAUGUCGAUGCGGUGUACUGUUUACGAUGCAAUGCACACACCCGUCGGGCGAAAGGGAAUCCGGUUCCUAUUCCGGAACCCGGCAGCGGAACCGUCAAUAAGUCGGGCCCUCGCAAGAGAGUUCGUCGGGGCAACCCAAAAGGACCCGGAGACGCCGUCGGGAGAUCCGGGAAGAGUUUUCUUUUCUGCAUGAGCGUUCGAGUUCCAUGGAAUCCUCUAGCAGGGAGAUAUGGUUUGGAACGCGAAGAGCACCGCAGUUGCAGCGGUGUCCGGAUCUUCCCCUCGGACCUUGAAAAUCCGGGAGAGGGCCACGUGGAGGCGUCGCGCCGGUUCGUACCCAUAUCCGCAGCAGGUCUCCAAGG